UCUCAUCUCCUUUGUAUUGCAGCGUUCCACAUCCCUUCCUCUUCCACCCCCAAAUUGUGGCAAUUGAAGAAUACCACUCUGCUCGGAGAUCCAUGUUAGGAAAAACGCAUCAAUCCAGAAGACUGAUAUUUUCCCCUAUGCUCCCAAUAAAAGAGUACUGGCCUAGCUGCACCAAUAAUCAGUAGAGAAUGGCUGAGAACACCAUAAGACUAACAGGAAUUUUCCCCUAUCUAUUAAAUCUUGCUAACAAGGAUUAAUGAAGAGGAGAUGGGAGUUUUUGUUACAAGAACUGAGGCCUGGCAGAUGGAUUACGUUUACAUUCUGUAAAACAGGAACUGAAGGAGGAACUUUGCAGCACUGUGUUUAUCGCGGUAUAAUAAAUCAGUACUUGAGGGUCUCACAUGCUCACUAGACAGUAAUAAUAAAAGU
Molecule: long non-coding RNA, 429 nt
Organism: Alligator mississippiensis (American alligator)
Lineage: Eukaryota; Metazoa; Chordata; Crocodylia; Alligatoridae
Exons: 4
Source: RefSeq, a predicted model, not a curated record